This 536-nucleotide long non-coding RNA is filed under the name Helianthus annuus (common sunflower). RNAcentral's name for it is "sRNA HanXRQr2_Chr06g0272591". The record is from RNAcentral. Lineage: Eukaryota; Viridiplantae; Streptophyta; Magnoliopsida; Asterales; Asteraceae.
UUUACCUUACUUCCUUUCUUUUCUUUUUCUUUGGACAGAACCAUCACAAUCAAACUUUAAUUUUGAUUGUCAUACACUCAAUUACACAUUACCCUAUUAUUAUAUUGAGGAGCACAUGGUGUAGAACAACCCAUUUCUGAUUUCUUAUAAAGAGACCAAUAUGAUUUUAUUAUCAAACCACACUAAAAUACACAUACACCCAAAAGUCUAAUCUAAGUUCAAGAGUUCAAGUUCGAAGUUCAGUGCUUUCAAAAUCCAUCUCUUUGCUUGAAUCAAAGUUCAAUGACUUAAUGUUGGUUCGCAUAAGUUUUGAGGACGACCCGAUUUGUGGAUUCUCUUUUGCUUGCUAAACUAAGGUACGGAUUCCCAUUUCUGACAUCAUAGUAUUUUUAUCCUAUCCGUCACUUUGCAGUGCGGAUUUUUGUGUGUCCCUGUUAGCCGUUUGAUAUGUGAUGCGAACCAGUCUGGUAUUGUUUGUAUGAUUAUUAGAGUGAUGUAGCAUGCCAUACCUUAGACUUGUACUCAUGGUCGCAUGU